UGUUGAUAUUGUGUCCUUGGGGUAGUACUCUCCUUAUAGGGCGAGUUGGGAGUAUUAAACGAGAUAACCCAAGCAAAGAAUAUGCCUGCACAUCGUUGGCACKAUUAUYAGGUAUUAUUCCUAUKAAAUGCUACCUGCUAAAAUGGGUAUAGAAUUUUACUGUUGACAAAGACGAUUUACAAAGUAACUCAUUGGAAACUGACUCAGAAAGGUCAAAAAMCUCAACCGAGUUCAUUUCGUUCRUGAGCACCCCGAUAUCAGGAUCCAAAUCUUUUACUUCUAAAAUGCAGCAAGCCUCACCCUGCCUUUUAAUCACGGUUUUUAUAUAUUUCAUUUGUUAUUUCCAGAUGGGUUAUUUUCAGAUUAGUUGGGUUCUAAUCUUACCUGCCUCAAAAUUGUGGCUCUAACUUGAUGAAUCUCGAAAUUUCGUUUCUUCAUUUUCUGCUGAUUCUCUCCUUUCUCCCAGACAGUUCUCCUUCCGGAACGUGGAGGAGAGAGAAGCCCCAGCUGUCGGACACCCACCUUCUUCCCGCUGUUCAAUCCCAGGAUCGGCAGGUGGAAGUCACCGGUGCUAAAGACGUUGACGGUCUGACCUGGUGUUCCUACCUGUGUCUUCCGACCCCGAGGCUUCGCCUGCUCGGCCCUCUGCCAGGUAGGAGACACUAGUUAUCCACGGGAGAGACCAUGAGGUUUAGAAGUACCUGCAAAAACACUAGGUUAGGGUCACUUCCCUCUUCAUGCUCUCAUUGAGCAUUUAGUAAUAAUAAGACAAAUAAUUACUUAUUAUUAAUAUUAAUUGCAUUUAAUAAUAACUAGAGCCACUCUUUUGCCCUCUUAGCAGGACAGCAGACUGUGGAUCCUCUACCUCCAGAAAGGUCCUUUGCCUGGGUCAUAUCUCAGUCACCAUUUCCUGGCCACGUGACCUUGCCAAGUUACUCAACCAUGACUCAGCCUCUUCACCUCACAAGUGGAAGCAGUACUAGUUGUUACCUAAUGGAGAUUUUUCUAAUCUACCUGUAAGUGCUUAAUACACGCUAGCGGUCAUCAGUAUGACGGUGGUUGGUUUUUGUUUGCUUUUUUUAAAUUUUGAAAAUAUGUUCUUCUAUUUAAGGAAGGGAGACUUUUCUGGUCUUAGGUGCCUUUCCCCACUGCCUGGCAGUCUAAAUUGUCACCAAAGGUUAAGGUGACCCUGUGGAGAGUGAGUCACCACCACUUAGAAGCCGGGGGUGAGUCAGUGGCAUCUGAGGGAAGGUCGGAAGUUCCCCUGGCUCAGAGUGAGAAGAUCCAACCCAGUCCUGGGGUGCAGAACUGAGUGCUUCUGUGGCCAGUUGGACCUGGAGUGUCAUGGAGAACUUGGGCUGCUCAAGUGAGGAGCACAACGUGGAGGCGCGUGCAGAGGCUGUGCAUCACACGGAGCUCAGCUGGAUUGCAACUCCGCCUCUAUCUUGCUAUAUGUGACCUCAGACAACUUACUAAGCCUCUGUGUGCCUCAUUUUAAAAUCAUCUGUAAAUGGAGAUGGUCUUAGUAGAAAUUACUUCAUGGUGUCAAUUCUUGGGAAAAUGCUGAGAACAAGUAAAUACUCAGUAAAAAGUCAUGGUCAUCACCAUCACCGCCGCCAUCGUCACGGUGCCUGGGAGUCUAGUCAGACAGCUCCAGGGAUGAGCA
This 1666-nucleotide long non-coding RNA is filed under the name Urocitellus parryii (Arctic ground squirrel). RNAcentral describes it as "lncRNA (ENSUPAG00010001030.1)". Lineage: Eukaryota; Metazoa; Chordata; Mammalia; Rodentia; Sciuridae. The record is from RNAcentral.